CUAUUUUCACUAGUUUCAAAGGCUUGAUUGACCUUUGGGAUUGAAUCUGGCUAGGGGGUGCCCUCGUAAAGACUAAAACCUCGUUACGCCGAAAAUAGUAGAGGUGCGACAGCGCUUUGGUAGUGAGUGGAAACUUACUUUCUGUCUGGUUAGUAGGAAUUUCUUGCCUGCUAAGGGAUUAGUCCAAGUUAGACCGAGAAGUAAGAGUUUGUAAUUGAAGUCGGGGGGGCUGAAUAGAUAAAUUCUCUUCCCACGUAGCGCUAAGAAGCAAGUUCCGACAGCCUAUGAUGAAAUAGCACAAAAAAAAAAAAAGGGCUACGCGAAUAAUAGUG
RNAcentral lists this long non-coding RNA (332 nucleotides) under Nicotiana benthamiana. RNAcentral's name for it is "long non-coding RNA (NBEN_LNC029142)". Lineage: Eukaryota; Viridiplantae; Streptophyta; Magnoliopsida; Solanales; Solanaceae. The record is from RNAcentral.